UACAGAGACCUCAAGCGUUAUCCGGAUUCAUUGGGCGUAAAGCGCGGGUAGGCGGGCAUAUUAGUCAAAUGUCAAAUCUCCUGACUUAAUCGGGAAACUGCAUUUGAAACGGUAUGUCUCGAGGACAUGAGAGACCAGUGGAACAUAUGGUGUAGCAGUGAAAUGCGUUGAUAUCAUAUGGAACACCAAAGGCGAAAGCAUCUGGUUGGCAUGUUCCUGACGCUGAGCCGCGAAAGCGUGGGAAUCGAAUGGG
RNAcentral lists this ribosomal RNA (253 nucleotides) under uncultured bacterium. Its description in RNAcentral is "partial 16S ribosomal RNA". It matches the Rfam family "Bacterial small subunit ribosomal RNA", at positions 524 to 776 of the family's 1533-position model. The record is from RNAcentral.